RNAcentral lists this ribosomal RNA (373 nucleotides) under uncultured bacterium. RNAcentral's name for it is "bacterial SSU rRNA". It matches the Rfam family "Bacterial small subunit ribosomal RNA", at positions 525 to 896 of the family's 1533-position model. The record is from RNAcentral.
ACGUAGGUUGCAAGCGUUAUCCGGAAUUAUUGGGCGUAAAGCGUGCGCAGGCGGUUUGUUAAGUUGGAUGUCAAAGCCUUGAGCUCAACUCAAGUCAGGUAUCCAAUACUGGCAAGCUGGAGAUAGGCAGAGGUAAGUGGAAUUCUGUAUGUAGGGGUAAUAUCCGUAGAUAUACAGAGGAACACCAAAAGCGAAGGCAGCUUACUGGGCCUUUUCUGACGCUCAUGCACGAAAGCGUGGGGAGCAAACGGGAUUAGAUACCCCGGUAGUCCACGCCCUAAACGAUGAACACUAGGUGUUGGAGGUCUCGACCCCUUCAGCGCCGCAGCUAACGCAUUAAGUGUUCCGCCUGGGUAGUACGAUCGCAAGAUUA